Molecule: unclassified non-coding RNA, 110 nt
Organism: Pan troglodytes (chimpanzee)
Lineage: Eukaryota; Metazoa; Chordata; Mammalia; Primates; Hominidae
Rfam family: Y RNA
About the family: Y RNAs are components of the Ro ribonucleoprotein particle (Ro RNP), in association with Ro60 and La proteins. The Y RNAs and Ro60 and La proteins are well conserved, but the function of the Ro RNP is not known.
Source: Ensembl
GGCUGGUCCGAACAGUGGAUAACUCAAUUGAUUGUUCACAGUCAGUUAUAGAUUGAACUCCUCAUUUUACUCCUUCUCCCAUUCUCACUACUGCACUUGACUAGUCUUAA